GAUUAAGUUAUUAAGGGCGCACGGUGGAUGCCUUGGCACUAGAAGCCGAUGAAGGACGUUACUAACGACGAUAUGCUUUGGGGAGCUGUAAGUAAGCUUUGAUCCAGAGAUUUCCGAAUGGGGAAACCCAGCAUGAGUUAUGUCAUGUUAUCGAUAUGUGAAUACAUAGCAUAUCAGAAGGCACACCCGGAGAACUGAAACAUCUUAGUACCCGGAGGAAGAGAAAGAAAAUUCGAUUCCCUUAGUAGCGGCGAGCGAAACGGGAAGAGCCCAAACCAACAAGCUUGCUUGUUGGGGUUGUAGGACACUCUAUACGGAGUUACAAAGGACGACAUUAGACGAAUCAUCUGGAAAGAUGAAUCAAAGAAGGUAAUAAUCCUGUAGUCGAAAAUGUUGUCUCUCUUGAGUGGAUCCUGAGUACGACGGAGCACGUGAAAUUCCGUCGGAAUCUGGGAGGACCAUCUCCUAAGGCUAAAUACUCUCUAGUGACCGAUAGUGAACCAGUACCGUGAGGGAAAGGUGAAAAGCACCCCGGAAGGGGAGUGAAAUAGAACCUGAAACCGUGUGCUUACAAGUAGUCAGAGCCCGUUAACGGGUGAUGGCGUGCCUUUUGUAGAAUGAACCGGCGAGUUACGAUUUGAUGCAAGGUUAAGCAGUAAAUGUGGAGCCGUAGCGAAAGCGAGUCUGAAUAGGGCGUUUAGUAUUUGGUCGUAGACCCGAAACCAGGUGAUCUACCCUUGGUCAGGUUGAAGUUCAGGUAACACUGAAUGGAGGACCGAACCGACUUACGUUGAAAAGUGAGCGGAUGAACUGAGGGUAGCGGAGAAAUUCCAAUCGAACCUGGAGAUAGCUGGUUCUCUCCGAAAUAGCUUUAGGGCUAGCCUCAAGUGAUGAUUAUUGGAGGUAGAGCACUGUUUGGACGAGGGGCCCCUCUCGGGUUACCGAAUUCAGACAAACUCCGAAUGCCAAUUAAUUUAACUUGGGAGUCAGAACAUGGGUGAUAAGGUCCGUGUUCGAAAGGGAAACAGCCCAGACCACCAGCUAAGGUCCCAAAAUAUAUGUUAAGUGGAAAAGGAUGUGGCGUUGCCCAGACAACUAGGAUGUUGGCUUAGAAGCAGCCAUCAUUUAAAGAGUGCGUAAUAGCUCACUAGUCGAGUGACACUGCGCCGAAAAUGUACCGGGGCUAAACAUAUUACCGAAGCUGUGGAUUGUCCUUUGGACAAUGGUAGGAGAGCGUUCUAAGGGCGUUGAAGCAUGAUCGUAAGGACAUGUGGAGCGCUUAGAAGUGAGAAUGCCGGUGUGAGUAGCGAAAGACGGGUGAGAAUCCCGUCCACCGAUUGACUAAGGUUUCCAGAGGAAGGCUCGUCCGCUCUGGGUUAGUCGGGUCCUAAGCUGAGGCCGACAGGCGUAGGCGAUGGAUAACAGGUUGAUAUUCCUGUACCACCUAUAAUCGUUUUAAUCGAUGGGGGGACGCAGUAGGAUAGGCGAAGCGUGCGAUUGGAUUGCACGUCUAAGCAGUAAGGCUGAGUAUUAGGCAAAUCCGGUACUCGUUAAGGCUGAGCUGUGAUGGGGAGAAGACAUUGUGUCUUCGAGUCGUUGAUUUCACACUGCCGAGAAAAGCCUCUAGAUAGAAAAUAGGUGCCCGUACCGCAAACCGACACAGGUAGUCAAGAUGAGAAUUCUAAGGUGAGCGAGCGAACUCUCGUUAAGGAACUCGGCAAAAUGACCCCGUAACUUCGGGAGAAGGGGUGCUCUUUAGGGUUAACGCCCAGAAGAGCCGCAGUGAAUAGGCCCAAGCGACUGUUUAUCAAAAACACAGGUCUCUGCUAAACCGUAAGGUGAUGUAUAGGGGCUGACGCCUGCCCGGUGCUGGAAGGUUAAGAGGAGUGGUUAGCUUCUGCGAAGCUACGAAUCGAAGCCCCAGUAAACGGCGGCCGUAACUAUAACGGUCCUAAGGUAGCGAAAUUCCUUGUCGGGUAAGUUCCGACCCGCACGAAAGGCGUAACGAUUUGGGCACUGUCUCAACGAGAGACUCGGUGAAAUCAUAGUACCUGUGAAGAUGCAGGUUACCCGCGACAGGACGGAAAGACCCCGUGGAGCUUUACUGUAGCCUGAUAUUGAAAUUCGGCACAGCUUGUACAGGAUAGGUAGGAGCCUUUGAAACGUGAGCGCUAGCUUACGUGGAGGCGCUGGUGGGAUACUACCCUAGCUGUGUUGGCUUUCUAACCCGCACCACUUAUCGUGGUGGGAGACAGUGUCAGGCGGGCAGUUUGACUGGGGCGGUCGCCUCCUAAAAGGUAACGGAGGCGCUCAAAGGUUCCCUCAGAAUGGUUGGAAAUCAUUCAUAGAGUGUAAAGGCAUAAGGGAGCUUGACUGCGAGACCUACAAGUCGAGCAGGGUCGAAAGACGGACUUAGUGAUCCGGUGGUUCCGCAUGGAAGGGCCAUCGCUCAACGGAUAAAAGCUACCCCGGGGAUAACAGGCUUAUCUCCCCCAAGAGUUCACAUCGACGGGGAGGUUUGGCACCUCGAUGUCGGCUCAUCGCAUCCUGGGGCUGUAGUCGGUCCCAAGGGUUGGGCUGUUCGCCCAUUAAAGCGGUACGCGAGCUGGGUUCAGAACGUCGUGAGACAGUUCGGUCCCUAUCCGUCGUGGGCGUAGGAAAUUUGAGAGGAGCUGUCCUUAGUACGAGAGGACCGGGAUGGACAUACCUCUGGUGUACCAGUUGUCGUGCCAACGGCAUAGCUGGGUAGCUAUGUGUGGACGGGAUAAGUGCUGAAAGCAUCUAAGCAUGAAGCCCCCCUCAAGAUGAGAUUUCCCAACUUCGGUUAUAAGAUCCCUCAAAGAUGAUGAGGUUAAUAGGUUCGAGGUGGAAGCAUGGUGACAUGUGGAGCUGACGAAUACUAAUCGAUCGAAGACUUAAUCAA
Molecule: ribosomal RNA, 2923 nt
Filed under: Staphylococcus aureus
Lineage: Bacteria; Bacillati; Bacillota; Bacilli; Caryophanales; Staphylococcaceae
Description: 23S ribosomal RNA
Rfam family: Bacterial large subunit ribosomal RNA
Source: RNAcentral